UGGACAGAUUAUUGUAUUCGACUGUAUUCACGGCAUGAAAUAGGGGAUUACACUGUUUUUAAAACAGAGUGUGAAUCAAUUAACAUAAUAGACUCCU
Molecule: microRNA precursor, 97 nt
Filed under: Nicotiana attenuata
Lineage: Eukaryota; Viridiplantae; Streptophyta; Magnoliopsida; Solanales; Solanaceae
Description: MIR6152 microRNA precursor family
Rfam family: MIR6152 microRNA precursor family
Source: Rfam by way of RNAcentral